Aethalodelphis obliquidens (Pacific white-sided dolphin) is the source of this 509-nucleotide long non-coding RNA. RefSeq lists it as uncharacterized. The transcript is spliced from 3 exons. The record is from RefSeq and is a predicted model, not a curated record. NCBI's taxonomy places the organism in Eukaryota, Metazoa, Chordata, Mammalia, Artiodactyla, Delphinidae.
UCGUUCCUGAGCUUCAAGCCAGAAUCGGCCAGGGCCCCGGCUAGCUUUCCUGGGGACAGCCGGUUACUGUGGAGCGUGUGACAGGCACGGGCCAAGCGGUCUACAAGCCAAGGACCCUCAGAUGGAGAAUCAGCGCAACUCCUGCCCCAGAGGAACGGGUACUUAGGACCAAGUAUUAAGUUUAUUCCCCAUGGAAGAGGAAGCUGAGUAAGUGAAUGGCUGCUGAACUUGGCUCCCAGAGAAGAACUCGUCCUCAUCACAUGCCUGCUCAAUAGAGCCGGGCAUCAGAACAAGUACGUUCAUACUGGUGACCUCAGUUAAUCUCCACAGCCCCCACAAGAGAGGGUGACUGGGAUAAGCAGCCACUGAAGAAUGUGUCGGUGUCACUGGCGAGGACGUUAUUCACCAAGAUACACGAUGGGGGCUUCCCUGGUGGCGCAGUGGUUGAGAGUCCACCUGCCGAUGCAGGGGACACGGGUUCGUGCCCCGGUCCGGGAAGAUCCCACAUG